UUUUGAGUGAAAUCCAAUCCCUACAAUUAUGCAAUUCACCAACCACUCCAUUUCAUAACGAACUUCGUACGAACCUAUAUUGUCCAAUUUCAUGGACCAAUCGAUAUCGGAUUGAGUCCAAAACUUCGGGAACGUCAUAAUACGUUGGGAGGAGUGAUUUGGUGGUUCUUGAGUGAAAUCCAAUUUUUAAAACUAUGCAGUAAACCAACCACUCCAUUUCAUAACAAACUUCGUACGAACCUGAAUUGUCCAAUUUCAUGGACCAAUCGAUAUCGGAUUGAGUCCAAAACUUUGGGAGCAACAUAAUAUGAUGGGAGGAGACAUUUGGCGACUUUUGAGUGAAAU
RNAcentral lists this long non-coding RNA (345 nucleotides) under Prunus persica (peach). RNAcentral describes it as "long non-coding RNA (PPER_LNC003396)". Lineage: Eukaryota; Viridiplantae; Streptophyta; Magnoliopsida; Rosales; Rosaceae. The record is from RNAcentral.